CGCCAGGGUAUUACGAGCCAGCUUAAAACCCAAAGGACUUGACGGUGUCCCAUCCACNCUAGAGGAGCCUGUUCUAUAAUCGAUAAUCCCCGCUAUACCUAACCACUUUUUGCNUUUUCAGCCUGUAUACCUCCGUCGCAAGCUUACCCUGUGAACGCUNNUCAAGUAAGCUUAAUGAUUCCCCUCAUCAACACGUCAGGUCAAGGUGCAGCCUAUGAAGUGGAAAGCAAUGGGCUACAAUUUCUAAGUUAGAACAAACGAAAGACUACAUGAAACACAGUUAUGAAGGUGGAUUUAGUAGU
This 302-nucleotide ribosomal RNA is filed under the name Walkerana leptodactyla. RNAcentral describes it as "partial 12S ribosomal RNA". It matches the Rfam family "Bacterial small subunit ribosomal RNA", at positions 870 to 1339 of the family's 1533-position model. Lineage: Eukaryota; Metazoa; Chordata; Amphibia; Anura; Ranixalidae. The record is from RNAcentral.